RNAcentral lists this ribosomal RNA (244 nucleotides) under uncultured bacterium. Its description in RNAcentral is "partial 16S ribosomal RNA". It matches the Rfam family "Bacterial small subunit ribosomal RNA", at positions 15 to 248 of the family's 1533-position model. The record is from RNAcentral.
GAUCAUGGCUCAGGACGAACGCUGGCGGCGUGCCUAACACAUGCAAGUCGAACGGGGUUACACGAGGUGCUUGCACCAUGUGGAACCUAGUGGCGGACGGGUGAGUAACGCGUGAGCAACCUGCCUUUCAGAGGGGGAUAACAACGGGAAACCGUUGCUAAUACCGCAUAAUACCGGAUGAUGGCAUCAUUGACCGGUCAAAGGAGCAAUCCGCUGAAAGAUGGGCUCGCGUCCCAUUAGGUAG